RNAcentral lists this ribosomal RNA (516 nucleotides) under Triticum aestivum (bread wheat). RNAcentral describes it as "partial small subunit ribosomal RNA". Lineage: Eukaryota; Viridiplantae; Streptophyta; Magnoliopsida; Poales; Poaceae. The record is from RNAcentral.
AUGAAGGAUAGUUGCACUUUCACAUGGACCACCUCGACAUGGACAACGACUUUGUUGGCGGCCGCUUCGGCCGCGAUGGGGAGUUCUAUUACCAGAGCCGUCGCGAGCGGGCGCCCCAGACCCACAACGAGGCGUUCUACGUCGCCUUCGGCAAGGGGGACUCCGACUACGACUCCGAGGAGAACAAGGCACCACGCCGGCGCCGGCACCGCAAGCGCCGCAUGGACGACUCCGAGCCCGACCUCACCAAGACCAUGCAGUUCGUCUCCAAGGGCAUCAGUGUCCCAAAGCCAGAGGAAGAGGAGGAGCAGCAAAGGCUUGGGCUUGGCUAGGCCGCGUCCUCCUCGGGCACUACUGUUGCCGCCUCCUCGGAGGAGGAUGCAGAGGAGGACCAGGAUCCAUACAUCGACCUGGCAACGGGUUUUGGGCAGCGGAUCACCGAGGGUGCACGCGCGAGGCAGGAGGAGAAGGAGCGGCAGCAGGAGUCUGCCAAUCGCUGGUGCAGUGCAUGGGUAG